UUUCAUUUCCAUUCUGUACCCUAAAGAAGUCAAAUCGAAAAAUCAACUUGAAAGCUUAAUUUUAAAUCAAUAUAGCAUGAUUUCGACGCACAGACAUUCACACGAACAUCGCUAAAUCGCCUUAGCUUUUUACAACUACCAAGAUCGUGAUCGAAUCCAUUCUCUUUUGGUCGAUAUAACUACCUUUUGCCUUGACUAUUGCUCUGAGUCGGUCUAACAAUGACUUUCCUCAGCGCAUCCAUAAUGGCAUAUUAUUUGGUUCUUACCUUGCUCUCUUAAAUGGCCGAAAAAGAAAAGUUCAUUGGAUUGGCAUCUGGCGAAUUGGAUAGCCGCGAUGUGAAUGAAAUGAAGUACAGAACGAACGGUGCCGAGUCAUGUUGGUACGUCCAUGAUCUAGGAUCGAAAUGUUUGUAUGUUCAAAGCAGCUUUAAAAAUGUUUUAACUACAGGCUAAACCAACGUGCCACUCCACUGUUGCCAACAUUCACACCAAAAACUUGAACAUUUAGUUCUUUAUUAUCGUAUGCGGGCA
Long non-coding RNA from Stomoxys calcitrans (stable fly), 531 nucleotides. RefSeq lists it as uncharacterized. Lineage: Eukaryota; Metazoa; Arthropoda; Insecta; Diptera; Muscidae. The record is from RefSeq and is a predicted model, not a curated record. The transcript is spliced from 3 exons.